Rhineura floridana is the source of this 615-nucleotide long non-coding RNA. RefSeq lists it as uncharacterized. The record is from RefSeq and is a predicted model, not a curated record. The transcript is spliced from 3 exons. NCBI's taxonomy places the organism in Eukaryota, Metazoa, Chordata, Lepidosauria, Squamata, Rhineuridae.
AAGAGUCCCAAGGGCUCAGCAGAGGGGCCAGAUAGAAGGGCUACAUUUGACCCCUGGGCCUGAGGUUCCCUAGGCCUGAAAUAAACAUUAUUGUUCUGUUAAGACCUUGGUGUCUCUGCCUGAUUCCUGACUCCGAAGACAGAUUGGAAGGUAAACCAUCUGUGUUGAUUUGCUAGGAGGAGAAAAGUUCCAUCGAGGGCUUAUCAAACUCACAACAAUGAGGAAGCAAAUAAUAACCACGAAAGGAGGAACACAAAGGCUUGCUUUAAAGUCAAGUCUCCUGUACACAAUGCACGGAAGUGCUUCGCUUCGGAGGGAUAAAGGGAUCUAAGAAGUGAAACAAAGAAAGGUUCCAUGGUUUCAGUCGUUUCUGCAAGGUCAACGUCUCAUCCGCAUAUCUAACCCUAGGACUGUUUGAUUGUGUGCCCAUUUAUCAUUCGGGAAAGAAGGAAGGGCAUGCAAAACGAAGAAGUGUAAGGGCCCUUGCUCUUGCUAUAGGUCCUCAGUCAUGCUGGGGCCACAGAUUUAUCUUAAAGGCAUGGAAAAUUGUUUUAGUUUUUGGGGCAAGGAGCUUGCCAUGAAUUUUCUUAAUAAUUGAUAGUCUACUUACAUGCA